UCUUUUAAUUGAAGGCUCGUAUGAAUGGUCGGACAAAAAGUAAGCUGUCUUCAACUGUAAAAAUUGAACUUGACUUUUAAGUGAAAAGGCUUAAAUAAUACAAAGUGACGAUAAGACCCUAUAAAGCUUUACAGUGUAAAUUUUUCACUAUAAAUUAUAAAAAUCGUAAAACUUAGUUUAAAAUAAAACUGUUUCGUUGGGGCGACGAAAAUAUAACAAAAUAACUGUUUUUACUCAAGUAAAACAAAUAUACUUGGUUUUAAUUAAUGAUCCUUUAUUAAAGAUUAAAAGAUUAAGUUACUUUAGGGAUAACAGCGUAAUCUUCUUUGAGAGUUCACAUCGACAAGAAGGCUUGCGACCUCGAUGUUGAAUUAAGGUUCCUGCAUGGUGUAGCAGCUAUGAGUCGGAGGUCUGUUCGACCUUUAAAUCCUUACAUGAUUU
RNAcentral lists this ribosomal RNA (441 nucleotides) under Gardinerosergia splendens. RNAcentral describes it as "partial large subunit ribosomal RNA". It matches the Rfam family "Bacterial large subunit ribosomal RNA", at positions 1972 to 2606 of the family's 2925-position model. Lineage: Eukaryota; Metazoa; Arthropoda; Malacostraca; Decapoda; Sergestidae. The record is from RNAcentral.